RNAcentral lists this ribosomal RNA (395 nucleotides) under uncultured bacterium. RNAcentral's name for it is "partial 16S ribosomal RNA". It matches the Rfam family "Bacterial small subunit ribosomal RNA", at positions 523 to 918 of the family's 1533-position model. The record is from RNAcentral.
AUACGUAGGGUGCAAGCGUUAAUCGGAAUUACUGGGCGUAAAGCGUGCGCAGGCGGUUUUGUAAGACAGAGGUGAAAUCCCCGGGCUCAACCUGGGAACUGCCUUUGUGACUGCAAGGCUGGAGUACGGCGGAGGGGGAUGGAAUUCCGCGUGUGGGAGUGAAAUGGGUAGAUAUGCGGAGGAACACCGAUGGCGAAGGCAAUCCCCUGGGCCUGUACUGACGCUCAUGCACGAAAGCGUGGGGAGCAAACAGGAUUAGAUACCCUGGUAGUCCACGCCCUAAACGAUGUCAACUGGUUGUUGGGUCUUCAUUGACUCAGUAACGAAGCUAACGCGUGAAGUUGACCGCCUGGGGAGUACGGCCGCAAGGUUGAAACUCAAAUGAAUUGACGGGG